AUCAUGCUCCCUUUUGUCAAGCUCCAAGUGCAUAUCACCCGUCCACCCACUUCGCGUCCCUUCAUUGAAUGGGGCUCCCUUGUUUCUGUUACAUUAUGUUACGUCGCCUCCAACACCUUCAAAGGAUCGGCGUCGACAUGCCCUGCCAAAGGAUCCUGUCCUGCGGAAUAGGUGGUUGGAGUUCGUUGGUCCCCAGUGGUGACAACGUGCACAUUUGUGUGCCCGACUGAUCCCCUGGUCAUGAAUGGAUGCAGAGACCUACCAGAAAGAGCAAAGAUGGACUGGAGAUGCUUUUGCCAGACGGCAGCCUCAGUCGUUUGAUGGGGAGACCAUCAAUGGCAACAUGUAUGGAGCCAGCACGUGGAGGUUUGCAAGAUGAUCUGAUUAAAUUCAGACUGACAGAUGGGCUUGAUACUGAUGUCUGUGAAUGGAGAGAGACUUAGCACUCGGUAUUAACAUUUUACUAGACAACUUUUACUUGUAAUUGCCUUGCAUUAUUGAAUUGAAUGGUAUCAGUCAAUAUGGGGAGGGACAAACGCUGUGUAUUCUGCACCAGGAUCAGGGAACUCUUGUUGUAUAUGGGACACUACACAGGAAGGUAUGACCACUGACAUGUUUGCCAAGGCAGCCCCAUUACCACCAGACAAAAAUGCUGAUAGGCACAGUAUCUGUAUUACAAUGACAAAGAAACAUGAAAGGUGCAUGUUGUUAUAUCAACAGAACACUGCUUCUAUGGUAUUAUGUAAAGGGUUGUUUGUUCUACAUGGACUUUCUACUACAUUUGAAAGUGAUCAAAACACUUAUUUACGUAGAAUAUCUACAUAAAUUCAGCAAUUGCAUUCUUCUCAUACUACGCUGUAGGCUACUGACCUAUUCAAAGCAUCUCACCAUACAUGGGCCUGUUGUUAUUGAACUCAACCCGCAGGAGGUUUGUUUGUUGUGAUUGAGUGGGGGGAAACAGCCCGCGGGCAAGGUUCUGACAGAUGGGUGUCUUGGAGGUGUUAAGGACACACCCAAGAAACACCCACAUUAUACCACACCACUAAGCCAACUCACGUUUGGCUUAUGUCAUGGCCACCAACAUUUCUUCAGGAGCAAGCCAAGAAACAAAGCCAAAUCAGCGGGUGCAGUUCCCCUUUAUGUGUAUUCGGAAAGUAUUCAGACCCCUUGGCUUUUUCCACAUUUUGUUGUUACAGCCUUAUUCUAAAAUAUAUUAAAUAUUUUUUCCUCCCU
Long non-coding RNA from Oncorhynchus nerka (sockeye salmon), 1233 nucleotides. RefSeq lists it as uncharacterized. The transcript has 4 exons. Lineage: Eukaryota; Metazoa; Chordata; Actinopteri; Salmoniformes; Salmonidae. The record is from RefSeq and is a predicted model, not a curated record.